Molecule: long non-coding RNA, 6371 nt
Organism: Gasterosteus aculeatus aculeatus (three-spined stickleback)
Lineage: Eukaryota; Metazoa; Chordata; Actinopteri; Perciformes; Gasterosteidae
Source: Ensembl
UUCCUCAUAGAAGUUUAUGGGAGCAGAGGAGUCGCCCCUUGGGGGUCAGUACAGAGAAUGCAGCUUCAGGCACCACAUUAGCUUCCCUCAGUCUGGUGUCUGUAAUGUAAAUCCCAAUAGACCUUCAUUACAGAAACAAGAGACUGGAUAUUUCUGUUGGUUUCCAAGUGUGUCUGUGUCUGUGUGUGUGUGUGUGUGUGUGUGUGUGUGUGUGAGGAGCCAGUCAUUGAACAUUGUUAAACUCUUAACAUUCUGCGACUGCAUGUCUCCACUUUUCCUAUCUAUUAAAAACAGUUGUAUUUAGUGGGAAUCUGAGUCUGCUGGAUUUUUCCACUUGACAUCCUGGAGGAAAUGAGAAGGUCUCCUGCUGAGUGAGAACUACUAGGAAAGCGACCAGAUCUUAAUCUGGGGGCCAAACACAGAGAAACGUUUGAUCCAGAAGCUGACCGGGUGUCAGACCAGAGAAUUAACAACAGCUCAGCUCUCGGUUCGGACUUUCUUUGUCAAAAUACACCCCCCACCCCCCAGCCAGGCGCCUCGACACCAUGGGGGGGCCGAGUAUUCAUGCCCCCCAACCUGCAAAGAGCUCCAUUCAUUCCAGCGGAAACAUUUCAAUGAAAACUAGCGACACACUGAAAUGUGCUGUAAUGUGUAAUAAUAAGGUGGAACACAUACUUAAUAACAUGAGUUAUUACACAGUCCCCAUGUUUUACUUUUGGGGGGAUUGUAAGUAUCUGUCAACUCACAUCUCAUAACUACUUUAUUACCUUUAUUAUUAUUUGUCCUCAAAUGAUCUACUCAAAUGACUCAAAAGGGAAUUGGGUGCUUCUUUGAGUAACAGCCACACCUCUCAGACACUGAGGACACUGAGGACAAUGAGGACAAUGAGGACAGGUGUAAUGAGAACUGCGUCCACUGCUCUCUGAUACACACACACACACACACACACACACACACACACACACACACACGCACACACACAGCGAUCAGACCCCCGUGUGAUAAUCGGAUGGAUCUCUUCUCCCUUUCUGCGGGUCUAUAACUGCUCAUGCUAACAUGUAGCAACAUGCUAAGUCAAUCUUCUGAUACUUCCUCCGGAUGAGGACAACACAUUUAUUUCAGCAUAGAUGGGAAUGAUUAUUACUUCCUGUAAGGUUUCAUAAUCAAAUCCACGUUGUGUUCAUUGUCUGUUAAUAUAUAUUUUUUACAUUCUUACAUGUAGUUUCCAACUGCAGAUAUUUUAUAAUGUAGUGUCAUUAUUGUAGUUUAUAAUGCUCUAAAGUCACAGUUAAAGUGCAUCAAAAUGUAAUUAUGUAAGUCCGGUAUUCUGAAAUUCUUUAUAAUAUCUUAUAUUGUAAUAUUAUUAUUGUUAGAAACAUUUUUGACACGUGAACAAACUGGUAAACGUUACGCAGCACGGAACAAAAUAAGAAAUACAAAUGAAAAACAUACAAAGGUCAGCUGUCAAAGUACGUCGGCCCCUGAGAAUAUUCUCACAUCAAAUGCUUCUAAAAUUAGACAUUACGUAACGCGCGUUGCGUUCGUGUCAGAGGUAGGGACCCCGGUGCAUGCUGGGUAUGGACACGACGGCUAAACUAACUCAUUAUUAAGAGACACUGGAGACGAUGAGCGCACGCGCAACCUCGAAGGCGUCGUUUUACAUUCGACACGCAGAGCGGCGCAACCGAGAGAAACCGCACACACGCACGCACAGACACACACACGCACAUAAGCGCACACAGUCCGGGUCGGAUGGCGUUAUCAACACAAAGAGAAAUAGAGAAAUAGUGGUGUGCAUCAACAUCCAAGUGCGCCUCCAAGGCCGUCGUAUCUCUGACACGCACAGACACACAAACAGACACACAACCCUGUGGUGGGUCACUGGGUUUUCAAGGUCCCAUCUGAAGCUGGUUACAUUGUGCCUUCGUAUCUCAAAGUUACACAAUCUAUGAAGACAAAGUCAAGACAAAGAGGCCCUGAAGGCAGCACGCGUGCAACCAGCUGGUCCAAAUACGGCGCGUUGAUGAAACGUUGAGGUGCAGCAGAGGAGCAGAACUGAUUUAGGGCGACGUCGGGUGUUUCACGCAGCUCUUAAACACACACCCUGUAAACGAUGAAGAAGCCGCUUCGUCUGAAUCGCAGCCCGAAGCAGUGAAACGAACGCUGCUGAUACUCGCGGGAAAGAGAGCGCGGACGAAUGCUGAAGGGCCUCUACUCCUCGGACGCGAAGGUGGGAGAAUGAAGCGCGCACUCGUGCGUCAGCAGCCACAACACCUCGAGAGUUUGUUUGCGGCGCGAAGCCUCCUCUGUCCGCCGGAGGAGAGAGCGGCAGCAGGAAAGGGCCCCACAUUUGGCUUCAGAAGAGCUCGGUGAUCUUCACUCCCACAGGAGGCCACGCGACCCAACAGAACAUGGAGAUGUUCCACCACCAGCAGGUUCCUUCCUCAUUUGAUCCUCAAUCGAGAGUUGAAGGAAGAAGCGAAUCCUUUCGGACGAAUGACUCAGUGUAAAUCCAAAGAUGCAAAGACGUGUUUGUCGCACAUUGUGAAGGUCACGCUGGUACAAACUCGUCGUGUUGUCAGCCGAGGUCGUGGAGUUGUGAUCCAUACGUAAUGAGAGAAGUUCAACCCGCCGGUCUCCAGCAAUGUGCACUCACAGACAUCCGAUUCACUUUCAUUUGGAGAUUUCGUUUAAUAAGACAUCUGUGUCCAACCUUGUAAAUGGUUUUAUGUGCUGACAUCCGAAAUAAAUAAGCUUGUUUGUUUUUUUUCAUUAUACAGCAUAUUUUACGAUUGCAUUUUAACAACCAAAGUGCAUUUAGCUUGAAAAUAAACUCAAGGAUGUAAUAAACGUCUCAAAGAUCGACUUAAAAGCAAUCUAGAGUAGAACUUUUUGUAAAUGGAUUUUUUUCCAGUAAAUUAAACAAUAAACUGUCAAGAGGAAAAGUGACGUGUUACGUACUUUUCUUAGCAAGAAAAACAAAAACAGCUAAACACAAAAAGCGACAAACUACUUUGUUGGCGAGUUGGCGCCAAAGUAUUCUCUGGUAUACAUGGCAGGUAGCAUGUAGCAGGUAGCACGUAGCAGGUAGCAGGUAGCAGGUAGCACGUAGCACGUAGCACGUAGCUAGGUCGCUAAAUAGCUCCGGGACCAGAGACCAGAUCCGACUGCAGCCUUUGCUGAGUCUCUCAGGGGGAACAAACAGCAUCACGAGCUCGUGGACUCGGAUCCUCGGGCCUUUUUAACAAAAACAGCAAGUCAAUAUGUUUUCUUUGAGGAAACUGACAGUCGACACCAACAAAUCACACAAAGCAACAUGAAGCUGGAUGAGAAACCCAGUGGAAUGUAAAAAAACAUCCUAAACUAUUAUCUCUUGGAUGAAGGGGGGUUAGAACCCAAAGAGCUCAGCAGGGAAAUCACGUUUCACUGCGUGUGUGUGUGUGUGUGUGCGUGUGCGUGUGCGUGUGCGUGUGUGUGUGUGCGUGUGUGUGUGUGUGUGUGUGUGUGUGUGUGUAAGAGAAGAAUGGAGACAUUGUAGCCGUUAGUGUGCGUGUGUCCACACUUGAUUUAAAGCCACUUUCAACAUUUUCUUUCAGAGUGAACGGAAAACUUUAGUUUUAGCCAAAGUUUUGUGGUUUGAUGAGAAAAACAUGGCGGUAAGGUGCUUUCUGAAAGGCUGCAUUGUCGAAACAGAGCGUUCUUGUAAUCACAUUAUCUCUCAAAGGAUGUCCAUGCUUUCUUAUUGUUUGAUUUUAUGUCGGUGUCAUAUGAAAUAACGCAUGUGAAUGAAAUGUAGAGGUACAUUAUUCCUCUUUUUAGUUCAUUGCUGAUUGGUUUGUCUGCAGGAUUACGGAAAAAAAAGAGAUUUUGGAUUGGAUCCAAAUCAAGGGGCGGAUAUAAAUAGUUUGUUUUUCCCUUUUUGUGCAUGAAGCCAAUUAGAGACCUCGACACUUUGUCCACAGCGAAACAUCCUCAGGUAGGAAGCCUCUCAUUAAACAUGGUUUAAUCAUUAUUCUGUUUGUCCUACUGUUCCUUUUUAAUUACAAAAACAGCUUCCAGAGCAAAUUGCUGAGCUUCAGUUCUGCCGAGGACGACGUGUCUGAUCUCGGGUGAAGUUUGUUCAAUCGGGUUAAAAGUAUGACUCAUUCACUCCACACAGAUUUCACAACAGCAUAACGACAGUUUGGUAAGUGACCAGUUAUGUGGUAAGAUGCAUUAGAACAAAUUGUUACGCCAGCACGCGGUUUUCCAACAACACCCUGUUGUUCACCUGUCAGUCGAGCUUUGAUGGAUCGUUUCCUCAUUACAGUUGGACGUCUCACGUGUCAGCCUCGCGUCAGUGACGAGCCGGUACGUCAGCAGGACAUCGAGCAAUGCGACGCGUCCUGCGAUGUGAACUCGAUCCGGAUCAGGAAAUGAAGCAACGAUCUGGCAAAGGUUUCCUCCAAAGUCGUGCGAGAGGAGCAGCCGCUCCGUGACCUGUGGAGGUGUCUGCUGUCCGCGUUGCCGCCAGAGGUCCGACAAGCUGACGGCAUCGGCGGCUGUGAUACUAAUUAUUUAGGAAGCACAUCGUCCAAAUCCACUGGAGAAAUGACGUGUGAGCCCGGGGGGGUUCAGACACAUGACAGGAGGCAGGUGGGCAGGUGGGCAGGUGGGGGGCUUCAGGCUGCACCUGAUGUCCAAUGGUUCCCGUGUAAAUCAACACUUUUACUUCUUCAUCGUGCAGCAAAGACCACAACAUCCCUGAAACGAGGAAAAGCAGAUGUGACGUGACAAGGCGUGCAGAUGUUGUAACAAACCGCUGCUCUCGUGCACGACGAGCCACAAGUGGGCGGCGCCCGUGACCACCAACCGCCGGCCUCCAAAAACAUGUUUUUCGUUUUUAACACGGCGGAAUAACUGGUGUCCACUGGUCCCUGCUAAUCACCGCAGGACGUUUUCCUCCAGGAGUCGGACAAAGGGUCCCGAGGGACGACCCGCAGCGUGCAGCCCACCCCUCCGGGCGCGUACAGUAGCGUGCGACCUUCAAGCCGCCCUUCGAGGUCGUCUGGGUGCUUUUCGUUCAUUCACAGAUGUAAACAAGGCCCCACGACCUUCACACAUGUGGGGAGUUUAAUUCUGUCCAAAUACUGUGGAAGCAUUUUCUACUUCUUGACUUUCCAACUGCACAACAAAUAGUGAACGAAUGUGUUGUCGACUUCCCCUCAUGACUCUGUAAUACUUUAUGCAAGAAAACCGCUCAGUAACAACGCCGUUCAUGUCAUUUCAUCCAAUGAAGUGCGGAUUAACUCCAGCUAUUUGUGUUGUGUUCAAAGAGGCAAAUGGCCAUUUAGUCUAAAUUAUGACAGUAAAAAUAGUAAUGAGGGAACAUAAAAUAAGUUUUGCGAUAAAAACAAUGUUUAGAUACACAACAAAUAAUAAAAGACAAGAAGGUCAUUUCUCUUGUUUCUUCAUUCAGUCGUCACAUGUUGCUCUUUCUGAUGAUGAUGAUGAUGAUGAUGAUGAUGAUGACUUUGUGUUUCUACCACUAAUGUUACUUCAUGUCGUCAGACUCAUCGCUGACAACCAAGCGCUCCUUUGUGGAGACGCGAGUGGAAAAAAAGGAGUGUUUCUGAAAAACAUCUUACUCACAUCCCUUUAGGACGUCUGACAGAACUACUAAACAUUACACACACACACACACACACACACACACACACACACACACACACACACACACACACACACACAGCUGUGCUCUUCAGCUCAAUGAGCAGAUCUGCUUUGGCAUCUUGGUAUUUGUGGCCAUCUGUCCUGUUCUCUUGCAGCUGAUCCCUGCGGCCUCCGGUGCGUCGCUUUGAACGGAAAAAGGACACGCGGCGUCCGUUUACUUUGCAUCAUCAUUUCAAUUUCUUCGCUUUGCAUCAAAGGCUAAUCGCAAACAAAUAAUGUGUCGGUUCAGCUGGAUGGAAUCGAAAUCGCAAUGGAGCGACUCCCACGAGGGUUACAGCGCACAACGGCAUCGCGUUUCACCUCAAAGUGACACGAAUCAACAAAUGUUACAACGAUCUGUUCCGUCUCGACUCAAAUGUGCUCAGCAUUAAAAACUGAAUACAACAACUGCCAAGAGACACAAAUCAACUGCAAAGCAACACAAAUCAACUACAGAGAGACAAAACAACUACAAAGACACAAAUCAACUGCAAAGCAACACAAAACAACUACAAAGAGACACAAAUCAACUGCAAAGCAACACAAAACAACUACAGAGAGACAAAACAACUACAAAGAGACACAAAUCAACUGCAAAGCAACACAAAACAACUACAAAGAGACACAAAUCAACUGCAAAGCAACACAAAACAACUACCAAGAGACACAAAUCAACUGCA